Molecule: ribosomal RNA, 278 nt
Filed under: Escherichia coli
Lineage: Bacteria; Pseudomonadati; Pseudomonadota; Gammaproteobacteria; Enterobacterales; Enterobacteriaceae
Description: partial 16S ribosomal RNA
Rfam family: Bacterial small subunit ribosomal RNA
Source: RNAcentral
AAAUUGAAGAGUUUGAUCAUGGCUCAGAUUGAACGCUGGCGGCAGGCCUAACACAUGCAAGUCGAACGGUAACAGGAAACAGCUUGCUGUUUCGCUGACGAGUGGCGGACGGGUGAGUAAUGUCUGGGAAACUGCCUGAUGGAGGGGGAUAACUACUGGAAACGGUAGCUAAUACCGCAUAACGUCGCAAGACCAAAGAGGGGUACCUUCGGGCCUCUUGCCAUCUGAUGUGCCCAGAUGGGAUUAGCUAGUAGGUGGGGUAACUGCUCACCUAGGCG